Long non-coding RNA from Scophthalmus maximus (turbot), 3256 nucleotides. RefSeq lists it as uncharacterized. The transcript is spliced from 2 exons. The record is from RefSeq and is a predicted model, not a curated record. Lineage: Eukaryota; Metazoa; Chordata; Actinopteri; Pleuronectiformes; Scophthalmidae.
CAGCCAUUCAUACUGGCCGUCUGACACUGCAUGCAGGGGAAACACCAAAGACCGCAGCAACCUUCAGCGCAGAAGAGAAGAGAAUAAAUACAUUUAUGAAAAUGUGACUUCAUUAAGAUAUACGGCUUUCAGGGCAAUGACCGCAUUUCCUCGACCACUGUUCCUCCGUCCAUCUGGGGAACAUUGAAGUGCACACUGUACUGUACUGUAGGUUGAAAAAAACAAAGUCUGUGGUGAUGAAUGAGCCGCAACACUGGUGUUGGUCGGGUAAAACUUACAGGUGCCCAUGUCAGAGCAGCAAUCGCACAUGCCGGUGCUCCAGGUCCCACGGCUUUGGGUGUUGGUGGUGGUCACCGUCACCACCUGGGUCGGGCUGUAUGCUGGCUGAGGGGCUGGCUGCUGGUAGACGGCCGGCUGCUGCUGGUAGACGGCCGGCUGCUGCUGGUAGGCGCCCGGCGGCUGCUGGUAGGCGCCCGGCGGCUGCUGGUAGGCGCCCGGCGGCUGCUGGUAGGCGCCCGGCUGCUGCUGGUAGGCGCCCGGCUGCUGCUGGUAGGCGGGGGGCUGCUGCUGGUAGUCGGCCGGCGGCUGCUGGUAGUCGGCCGGCGGCUGCUGUUUGACGUCCAUGGCUGGAGGACACGAGGCAGGAACGAAGAAAACGUUUGGAAGGCGGACGGACAGGAACGGCUCCUGGCACAGGAGAAGAAAGUCACAAGAGUGGCCCGUCGAAGUGUCGCCACCACGAAAUCCAUCCCAGGGCGUUUUUGACUCGUUCACGUGGGCCGCGCUGGCGGCGAAGACCCGAUCUGCUGUGCGAACGGGACGACCUCGAAUUCGCCUCGCAAGAAAGUAAUUUACGUCUCCCGUCGACAAAAUGUGCGGCACGUGGACACCUCGUGCUUCUACUGUACAUCAUUCCUUCCCCAGAGUGAUGACGUAUUAUAUUUCUCCGUCCGGUGUUGAACUUGUUUUGGGCCUGGCCAAUGACACGGCAUUUCCUGUAAGCCUAUUUUAUCCUCCGGCCAUUUUGUUAGCCAAGUUUCUUUUUCUGUGUGUUGAUAUCGGGAUAUAAAAUACAUGUAUUUUUAUCUUGUGUAAAAAACGUCUUUGUUGUAAAAUGCCUUUCAAUGAGCCCCAAAAACAAACAAAAAAAGAUUGAUUUUAAUCAGAGCUGCCAUUUUGUGUGUAAAAGCUUUCCCCCCCUCAUUUCAACGUUAGCAUUAGCCUCUUUGAUGUUUAGCAGCAGCUAGCUCGCGAGAACAUCUGUCAAAUUGCACUUUUUUUUUUUUUUUUUUACAUAGCUCUAACUUAAUAACUUCAUUGAGUUACUUCAUAUUUUCGUGUUUUUUGCGUAACGUACAGCUGAGAGCCAGCUGUUGUCAAAUUAAUUUGCAAAAAUAUUAUUUUUUUUUCGUUUUUGUUUUUUCCCCCCACAUCCUGUUUCUUGGUUUUCUUCUGAACCGGAAAUUUUUUUUUCUUUUUGAAAAAAUGAAGGGGCUUUCACUUUCAACUUCAACAUUCAACUAAUUGACAUUAAUGGCUAAAAAGGCCUGUUUAAUAGGAAUAAUUCAAAAUCCAACUUGUAUUGCUCGAACGGAAGAAAAACAAGGCAAUGAACUCAAGUUUCUGUCUCGUCGAAUAAUAGAACAGAUCAGGUUGUAGUUUUGUUCAUCGUGAUUUUUUUUUAAUCACGAUUCUUUUUUUUCUUUGGAGUUCGCGCGCUCGUGCGGACUUCUCCAAUGUGGCCCCGGUGGGACGACGGUCGCGUCAAAUCGCAUCACUCAAAACGACUAUUACGCUUUAAUAAACGGGCAAAGUCUUCAUAAAAACCAAAAGUCGCGUCUCACCUUCUCCUCUCCGAUGCGACAGGCGACGAUCUCGUGGGGGAAGAGGGCUGCUCUCUCUCUCUCCCUCCCUCUCUCUCUCUCUCUCUCCCUCCCUCUCUCUCUCUCCCUCUCUCUCUCUCUCCCUCCCUCUCUCUCUCUCUCUCUAUCUCUCCCUCUCUCUCUGUCUCUCUGCCUGUCUGUCUCUCUGUCUCACGAACGUUAGUUUCUGUUUCCCAAGAAACCUCCCUCAGCCCAGCCCGGAGGGGGUCGGACGAAUGUUCAACUUGGUGAAGGUAACUUUUCCGCCCAGCACCUCAGUCUGCGCACGACCCCCGACGGCGCACACUGGUCAACAAAGUCAACAAACCUAAAAGUAUAUGUAACACGUCAACAUACUAUAAUGUGUAUAAAAUGCCAGGGACAACAACAACAACAAAAAAUUGGUAACAUUUUUUCUUUCUUUUUUUUAUAUUUUAAUAAUACAUAAGCUCGAGAAAUUAAAAAAAAUCCAGGGUACUGCCGGUGAAUAAAUACCAUAUUCAGAGCAGGAACAAUUUCACUGAACCGGUGGGUCGGUGGUGCAUUCACGUGCUGUCGGACCUUUUUCGUUUAACUUUUGCAUUCAUUGCUGUAAUCAAUCAAUCAAAGCUUCUCUCCAAAUCCCAACUGCAUACUUUAUAUUGUACAUUAUUGUAUAUAGUAUGUGUCUUGUAUAUGGUGUUUGAUCUAUGUAAUGUUGUUUUUUUAAAUAUGUUUUCCCAUGAGCUGUUACGCCUUGUGCUGCUUUGUCGAUUAUGAAUUUCCCAAAAGGGUGAUCAAUACAGGUUUAUCUUAUCUUAUCUUAUCUUAUGGAGACAUCCCUCUCUGUGAUUUACAUUGACUUAUUGUACCACCAGCUUUGUGCACUUGAUGGCGUAAGGUACACAUGAGUUGGUGUCCAUGGUUUCUAUUUGGAUUUAAAGUGAGCAUGAACAUCUCUGUGUGAGAAGCUAUGCAAGAAUUCAUUGAUCAUCCCAUAGAGGAUGAUCCAUUUUCUUAUAUAUGAUGCAUGUGGUUUGAUUGGGGGAAUUGUACAACAUCAAAACAGAUGAGAAAACCAAUCACGCCAUUAGCAGAUUAAAAGUGCCUCUAAUGGUUGUACAGCUUCUAGAGAAACGGUGCAUUUCCCAUUCAGAUAAAGGUAUUUAAGAUUUUAAAUUGUAAUAAAAACAUAAGGCAUGAACCAUGCUUACAAAAUAGGUAUAUAACAAAAGGAGGAUUUUCCAGUUUUAGCUGCUUUCAGCCUGGAAAAUUCACGAUAUCAUUCAUGUAUUGCAUUUCAUUAUAUACAAUAUAUAUGAUACAAUAAACCAAGGCUUUGUAUAUGUGAAUUUGCAAUUUACAAUGUGAGUGUGAUAUUUGGCAAGAAUAAACACAAGAUUUACUUCCUUUUA